This is a long non-coding RNA of Hirundo rustica (Barn swallow), 889 nucleotides long. RefSeq lists it as uncharacterized. The transcript has 3 exons. The record is from RefSeq and is a predicted model, not a curated record. NCBI's taxonomy places the organism in Eukaryota, Metazoa, Chordata, Aves, Passeriformes, Hirundinidae.
CCAAGUAGAUUUGGCUCUAGUUCCUGAUCAACUCCCAAUCCUUACUCUUGUGCUGCUUUUGCUGCUGACUUCUGAGGUAGCUGUCAUGUUCUGUAUCCUGUAACACUUUGUGCCUUCAGUCUGAUGUGUGAAGCAGCAUGCUAAUCCUUGUCCUACUGUGUUCCUUGUGGGAACAUCUUCCACUGCUUCUCAUAUCAGAGGGAACUUCAGUGGACAGCAGAGGAGAGGUUUCUACAAAUCCUACCAAGAUGCGCAGCACAGAAGUCCCUUAGGCUUGUGAAAUUACUUUUGAGUGAGGUUACAGCAUACCUGGCAGGGCCUAGGUAGCAAGGCUGCAGGUGACAGAGCCUGCACUGAAAUGAAGCCUUGAAGGUGACAAGCCAAGGCAGAGACACCCUGGGACGCUGUAAGUGACCUCAGGCAGGGCAAGAACAGAAAGAAUCCUGGAGCAGUGGAUGAAAUAUAGCAAGAAGGAUGAUGGAAAAGCAGAAAGAAAACAAUGUACACAAAACUCCUGCAACUACGCCUCACCUCCUUGGAGAGACUGGGACAGCUUCAAUAUGACCACAGCAAAAUCAGUGCUUGUGAAGACUAGGGAAGUGAAGAUUAUUCUUUUGUAGGAUGCAGGAAGUCAUAAUGGUUUUGCCUGUGACAAUGGGUAAAGAACUUUUUAUUUCAUUUCAGUGUGCAUUGAUGAGACAUCCAUUUCACUUUUUACCUCAUCUUGUUUCCUUAUGCGAAUCCUUAUUUGAACCCAUGCAGCCAUAAAUCUUCCCCAGGUGUGUUUUUGCAAAAGGUUUUUCUUUCUUCAAAUGAUGUAAGUAAAAUGCCCAGUGUGCGCUUUGAUUUGCUGCCUUUUAUGUGGCGAUGAACCAUCAAACCAGCAUGU